UGAGAGUUGACCACUGUGAAAAGUGCUAUGUAAAUAAAGAUUUAUUUAGUUAUUUACUUACUUUGUUUACAAGCCUUCCCGCUCUCUUACAACCCUUCACACCCCAAACCUAACAUUACCGGUGCAACAAAAGUGCCGAACAAUAUCGGAGCCGUGCAGCUUUGAGUCAGAUUCCAGCUCAGAUAAGGAAAACAAAGAUGUACAUGUAACUGUGUUUUUUUUUGUUUUUUUUUUUAAAUUAUUUUUCUAUUUAUUUCUGGACCCUUUUUGUGUACGCCGUGAAUGGAAUUUCCAACGCAUUUAAACUCAUCACGGAUGUCAUCAUGUGAAAAUGAGCAACAGGUGCGGUCCGGCUGCACCUGGCAACUUUAAAAGGAAGCACACAGGAGAGACACAACAGGCAAGAAACUCAAAGGGCCAGAGGAAGAAGAGACCCGGGUGGGGGUCCCCACGUCUCCUGGAGCCAUGCUGCCCUGGGAGCGGGUUGGCCACCGUCCCUCCCUAGAAGACGUGAGCUGCUAGCCCCUCAACAUGCCUCACCGGAUGGGUGACAGGGAGGACGCACCUGCAGCUUGGAGCCAAGGAAGGGGAGAGUCAACUGGAGAGGCAGAGGGGUGUGGUUGUGACCCCCUCUUAGAGCCAAGUACCCUUUCCUUGUCCUUCCCUAAAUUGAGUUCUAAAGCACCUGGUUUUUCUUUUAUGGACUCAAACUCCUCCCAGUGGACAGCCAUGAACUCGAAUGGAGGAGGGGUUUUUAAAGACUCCACCCCUGGAUCAAAUAAACUGUUGUCCAUCUGCUGCACAA
This is a long non-coding RNA of Oryzias melastigma (Indian medaka), 805 nucleotides long. RefSeq lists it as uncharacterized. The transcript has 2 exons. The record is from RefSeq and is a predicted model, not a curated record. NCBI's taxonomy places the organism in Eukaryota, Metazoa, Chordata, Actinopteri, Beloniformes, Adrianichthyidae.